Molecule: ribosomal RNA, 117 nt
Filed under: Acidobacteriota bacterium
Lineage: Bacteria; Pseudomonadati; Acidobacteriota
Source: RNAcentral
CCCGGUGGUCAUAGGAGAGGGGAAACACCUGUUCCCAUGCCGAACACAGCAGUUAAGCCCUCCACCGCCGAUGGUACUGCGGGGGCAACUUCGUGGGAGAGUAGGUCGCUGCCGGGA